Molecule: ribosomal RNA, 1266 nt
Filed under: metagenome
Description: bacterial SSU rRNA
Rfam family: Eukaryotic small subunit ribosomal RNA
Source: RNAcentral
UGGCAAUCACGGGUAACGGAGAAUCAGGGUUCGAUUCCGGAGAGUGAGCCUGAGAGACGGCUAACACAACUAAGGUUGGCAGCAGGCGCGCAAAUUACCCAAUGCCAACACUGGCGAGGUAGCGACGAAAAAUAGGAUUUCCGCUGGCCUUCGGCCAGUGGAGAUUCCAAUGAAUGGUACACAAACUCACCACUGAGUAACUAUUGGAGGGCAAGUCUGGUGCCAGCAGCCGCGGUAAUUCCAGCUCCAAGAGCGUAUGCUAAUGCUGUUGCUGUUAAAAAGCUCGUAGUUGGAUUCUGAGUUGAAGGUUGCACACGGCCUCUCCCCGAGGCCCUUCCCUCACGUCCUUCGGGGUGUGGGAGGAGGACUCUUGUGCGGAUUGGAUACAACCGUGUGCUUUCGACCUUCACUCUACAUACGCGGAAUCGACAACUCCUGCGGAAGCCUCCUUCACUGGUGGUGGAAGCACCAACACGGGACCACAAGUUCCCUUAAAGGAGCGUCCGUGCAUGUUACUGUGAACAAAACAGCGUGUUCAAAGCAUCCGUUUGGCUGAAUGAUCUAGCAUGGAAUAACAAGGGAUCGACCUUUUGGGUCUUCUUUUUGUCAGUCUUGAUUACCCUCAAGGGCAAUCUAGGGCGGAGAAACCACCUGGUGCUGGCGCUGGCGGGUUCCUUGCUGCUUCGGCAGUCAGGGCGCCCCCAUGCACUGGCGCCCAGUGGUCUCCGUUCCGUCGGUAUUAAUAGAGGCAGGCGGGGUGGUACGUAUUGCUGCGUUAGUGGUGAAAUACUUAGACCGCAGCAGGACGAACAACAGCGAAGGCAUUCUGCAAGUUUGCUUUCAUUAAUCAAGAACGAGAGUGUGGGGUUCGAAGAUGAUCAGAUACCGUCGUAGUCCAUUACCGUAAACGAUGCCGAUUUGAAAUCAGCGGAGGCUCUAUUUUAAGACUCCGUUGGCAUCACCCCCUUUUAACGAGAAAUCCCAAAUGUGUGGGUUCAGGGGGGAGUACAUUCGCAAGGCUGAAACUUAAAGGAAUUGACGGAAUGACACCACAAGGCGUGGAGUAUGCGGCUUAAUUUGACCCAACACGGGGAAACUCACCAGGUCAGGACGAAAUUGGGAUUGACAGAUUGAAGUUCUUUCUUGAUCUUUCGGAUGGUGGUGCAUGGCCGUUCUUGGUUGGUGAAGUGAUUUGUCUGCUUAAUUGCGUUAACGAACGAGAUCUCUGCCUCUUAAUAGGUGGCGGCGACGACUUCAAGCAGCUGG